RNAcentral lists this ribosomal RNA (2920 nucleotides) under Salmonella enterica subsp. enterica serovar Adjame. RNAcentral describes it as "23S ribosomal RNA". It matches the Rfam family "Bacterial large subunit ribosomal RNA". The record is from RNAcentral. Lineage: Bacteria; Pseudomonadati; Pseudomonadota; Gammaproteobacteria; Enterobacterales; Enterobacteriaceae.
GGGUUGUGAGGUUAAGCGACUAAGCGUACACGGUGGAUGCCCUGGCAGUCAGAGGCGAUGAAGGGCGUGCUAAUCUGCGAUAAGCGCCGGUAAGGUGAUAUGAACCGUUAUAACCGGCGAUACCCGAAUGGGGAAACCCAGUGUGAUUCGUCACACUAUCAUUAACUGAAUCCAUAGGUUAAUGAGGCGAACCGGGGGAACUGAAACAUCUAAGUACCCCGAGGAAAGAAAUCAACCGAGAUUCCCCAGUAGCGGCGAGCGAACGGGGAGGAGCCCAGAGCCUGAAUCAGCAUGUGUGUUAGUGGAAGCGUCUGGAAAGGCGCGCGAUACAGGGUGACAGCCCCGUACACAAAAGCGCAUGUGCUGUGAGCUCGAUGAGUAGGGCGGGACACGUGGUAUCCUGUCUGAAUAUGGGGGGACCAUCCUCCAAGGCUAAAUACUCCUGACUGACCGAUAGUGAACCAGUACCGUGAGGGAAAGGCGAAAAGAACCCCGGCGAGGGGAGUGAAAAAGAACCUGAAACCGUGUACGUACAAGCAGUGGGAGCACAGGUUUACCUGUGUGACUGCGUACCUUUUGUAUAAUGGGUCAGCGACUUAUAUUCUGUAGCAAGGUUAACCGUAUAGGGGAGCCGCAGGAAACCGAGUCUUAAUUGGGCGUUAAGUUGCAGGGUAUAGACCCGAAACCCGGUGAUUAGCCAUGGGCAGGUUGAAGGUUGGGUAACACUAACUGGAGGACCGAACCGACUAAUGUUGAAAAAUUAGCGGAUGACCUGUGGCUGGGGGUGAAAGGCCAAUCAAACCGGGAGAUAGCUGGUUCUCCCCGAAAGCUAUUUAGGUAGCGCCUCGUGAAUUCAUCUCCGGGGUAGAGCACUGUUUCGGCUAGGGGGCCAUCCCGGCUUACCAACCCGAUGCAAACUGCGAAUACCGGAGAAUGUUAUCACGGGAGACACACGGCGGGUGCUAACGUCCGUCGUGAAGAGGGAAACAACCCAGACCGCCAGCUAAGGUCCCAAAGUCAUGGUUAAGUGGGAAACGAUGUGGGAAGGCCCAGACAGCCGGAUGUUGGCUUAGAAGCAGCCAUCAUUUAAAGAAAGCGUAAUAGCUCACUGGUCGAGUCGGCCUGCGCGGAAGAUGUAACGGGGCUAAACCAUGCACCGAAGCUGCGGCAGCGACACUGUGUGUUGUUGGGUAGGGGAGCGUUCUGUAAGCCUGCGAAGGUGGCCUGUGAGGGUUGCUGGAGGUAUCAGAAGUGCGAAUGCUGACAUAAGUAACGAUAAAGCGGGUGAAAAGCCCGCUCGCCGGAAGACCAAGGGUUCCUGUCCAACGUUAAUCGGGGCAGGGUGAGUCGACCCCUAAGGCGAGGCCGAAAGGCGUAGUCGAUGGGAAACGGGUUAAUAUUCCCGUACUUGGUGUUACUGCGAAGGGGGGACGGAGAAGGCUAUGUUGGCCGGGCGACGGUUGUCCCGGUUUAAGCGUGUAGGUGUGUGUUCCAGGUAAAUCCGGUUCACUUUAACACUGAGGCGUGACGACGAGGCACUACGGUGCUGAAGCAACAAAUGCCCUGCUUCCAGGAAAAGCCUCUAAGCAUCAGGUAACAUCAAAUCGUACCCCAAACCGACACAGGUGGUCAGGUAGAGAAUACCAAGGCGCUUGAGAGAACUCGGGUGAAGGAACUAGGCAAAAUGGUGCCGUAACUUCGGGAGAAGGCACGCUGACACGUAGGUGAAGUGAUUUACUCACGGAGCUGAAGUCAGUCGAAGAUACCAGCUGGCUGCAACUGUUUAUUAAAAACACAGCACUGUGCAAACACGAAAGUGGACGUAUACGGUGUGACGCCUGCCCGGUGCCGGAAGGUUAAUUGAUGGGGUCAGCGCAAGCGAAGCUCCUGAUCGAAGCCCCGGUAAACGGCGGCCGUAACUAUAACGGUCCUAAGGUAGCGAAAUUCCUUGUCGGGUAAGUUCCGACCUGCACGAAUGGCGUAAUGAUGGCCGGCUGUCUCCACCCGAGACUCAGUGAAAUUGAACUCGCUGUGAAGAUGCAGUGUACCCGCGGCAAGACGGAAAGACCCCGUGAACCUUUACUAUAGCUUGACACUGAACAUUGAGCCUUGAUGUGUAGGAUAGGUGGGAGGCUUUGAAGUGUGGACGCCAGUCUGCAUGGAGCCGACCUUGAAAUACCACCCUUUAAUGUUUGAUGUUCUAACGUGGACCCGUAAUCCGGGUUGCGGACAGUGUCUGGUGGGUAGUUUGACUGGGGCGGUCUCCUCCUAAAGAGUAACGGAGGAGCACGAAGGUUGGCUAAUCCUGGUCGGACAUCAGGAGGUUAGUGCAAUGGCAUAAGCCAGCUUGACUGCGAGCGUGACGGCGCGAGCAGGUGCGAAAGCAGGUCAUAGUGAUCCGGUGGUUCUGAAUGGAAGGGCCAUCGCUCAACGGAUAAAAGGUACUCCGGGGAUAACAGGCUGAUACCGCCCAAGAGUUCAUAUCGACGGCGGUGUUUGGCACCUCGAUGUCGGCUCAUCACAUCCCGGGCUGAAGUAGGUCCCAAGGGUAUGGCUGUUCGCCAUUUAAAGUGGUACGCGAGCUGGGUUUAGAACGUCGUGAGACAGUUCGGUCCCUAUCUGCCGUGGGCGCUGGAGAACUGAGGGGGGCUGCUCCUAGUACGAGAGGACCGGAGUGGACGCAUCACUGGUGUUCGGGUUGUCAUGCCAAUGGCACUGCCCGGUAGCUAAAUGCGGAAGAGAUAAGUGCUGAAAGCAUCUAAGCACGAAACUUGCCCCGAGAUGAGUUCUCCCUGAGACUUAGAGUCUCCUGAAGGAACGUUGAAGACGACGACGUUGAUAGGCCGGGUGUGUAAGCGCAGCGAUGCGUUGAGCUAACCGGUACUAAUGAACCGUGAGGCUUAACCUUACAACGCCGAAG